UGAACGCUAGCUACAGGCUAACACAUGCAAGUCGAGGGGCAGCGAGAGGAAAGCUGCUUCCUUGUCGGCGACCGGCGCACGGGUGAGUAACGCGUAUCCAACCUCCCCAUAGUAGAGGAUAGCCCGGCGAAAGUCGGAUUAAUACUCUAUGUUGUAUAAUGAGGACAUCUGAAUUAUACCAAAGAUUCAUCGCUAUGGGAUGGGGAUGCGUCUGAUUAGCUUGUCGGCGGGGUAACGGCCCACCGAGGCAACGAUCAGUAGGGGUUCUGAGAGGAAGGUCCCCCACAUUGGUACUGAGACACGGACCAAACUCCUACGGGAGGCAGCAGUGAGGAAUAUUGGUCAAUGGACGAGAGUCUGAACCAGCCAAGUAGCGUGCAAGGAUGACUGCCCUAUGGGUUGUAAACUGCUUUUAUGCGGGAAUAAAGUCAGGUACGUGUACCUGUUUGUAUGUACCGCAUGAAUAAGGACCGGCUAAUUCCGUGCCAGCCGCCGC
RNAcentral lists this ribosomal RNA (496 nucleotides) under uncultured bacterium. Its description in RNAcentral is "bacterial SSU rRNA". It matches the Rfam family "Bacterial small subunit ribosomal RNA", at positions 30 to 518 of the family's 1533-position model. The record is from RNAcentral.